This is a non-coding RNA of Salmo salar (Atlantic salmon), 55 nucleotides long. Lineage: Eukaryota; Metazoa; Chordata; Actinopteri; Salmoniformes; Salmonidae. The record is from Rfam.
UGCAUUCACUACUGUAAGUCGCUCUGGAUAAGAGCGUCUGUUUAAAUGACUAAAA